GACGAACGCUGGCGGCGUGCUUAACACAUGCCCUCAAAGGGAAAGGCCCUGCUUUUGUGGGGUGCUCGAGUGGCGAACGGGUGAGUAACACGUGAGUAACCUGCCCUUGACUUUGGGAUAACUUCAGGAAACUGGGGCUAAUACCGGAUAGGAGCUCCUGCUGCAUGGUGGGGGUUGGAAAGUUUCGGCGGUUGGGGAUGGACUCGCGGCUUAUCAGCUUGUUGGUGGGGUAGUGGCUUACCAAGGCUUUGACGGGUAGCCGGCCUGAGAGGGUGACCGGCCACAUUGGGACUGAGAUACGGCCCAGACUCCUACGGGAGGCAGCAGUGGGGAAUAUUGCACAAUGGGCGGAAGCCUGAUGCAGCAACGCCGCGCGCGGGAUGACGGCCUUCGGGUUGUAAACCGCUUUCGCCUGUGACGAAGCGUGAGUGACGGUAAUGGGUAAAGAAGCACCGGCUAACUACGUGCCAGCAGCCGCGGUGAUACGUAGGGUGCGAGCGUUGUCCGGAUUUAUUGGGCGUAAAGGGCUCGUAGGUGGUUGAUCGCGUCGGAAGUGUAAUCUUGGGGCUUAACCCUGAGCGUGCUUUCGAUACGGGUUGACUUGAGGAAGGUAGGGGAGAAUGGAAUUCCUGGUGGAGCGGUGGAAUGCGCAGAUAUCAGGAGGAACACCAGUGGCGAAGGCGGUUCUCUGGGCCUUUCCUGACGCUGAGGAGCGAAAGCGUGGGGAGCGAACAGGCUUAGAUACCCUGGUAGUCCACGCUGUAAACGGUGGGUACUAGGUGUGGGGUCCAUUCCACGGGUUCCGUGCCGUAGCUAACGCUUUAAGUACCCCGCCUGGGGAGUACGGCCGCAAGGCUAAAACUCAAAGGAAUUGACGGGGCCCCGCACAAGCGGCGGAGCAUGCGGAUUAAUUCGAUGCAACGCGUAGAACCUUACCUGGGUUUGACAUGGAUCGGGAGUGCUCAGAGAUGGGUGUGCCUCUUUUGGGGUCGGUUCACAGGUGGUGCAUGCCUGUCGUCAGCUCGUGUCGUGAGAUGUUGGGUUAAGUCCCGCAACGAGCGCAACCCUUGUUCACUGUUGCCAGCACGUUAUGGUGGGGACUCAGUGGAGACCGCCGGGGUCAACUCGGAGGAAGGUGGGGAUGACGUCAAGUCCUCGUGCCCCUUAUGUCCAGGGCUUCACGCAUGCUACAAUGGCUGGUACAGAGAGUGGCGAGCCUGUGAGGGUGAGCGAAUCUCGGAAAGCCGAUCUCAGUUAAGAUUGGGGUCUGCAACUCGACCUCAUGAAGUCGGAGUCGCUAGUAAUCGCAGAUCAGCAACGCUGCGCUUAUAGGGUCCCGGGGCU
This 1344-nucleotide ribosomal RNA is filed under the name uncultured bacterium. RNAcentral's name for it is "bacterial SSU rRNA". It matches the Rfam family "Bacterial small subunit ribosomal RNA", at positions 28 to 1381 of the family's 1533-position model. The record is from RNAcentral.